GGUCUUGCCUGCCCUGUGACAUUUGUUUAACGGCCGCGGUAUUUUAACCGUGCGAAGGUAGCGUAAUCACUUGUCUUUUAAAUGAAGACCUGUAUGAACGGCAUAACGAGGGAUAAGCUGUCUCCUCUUUCAAGUCAAUGAAAUUGAUCUUUCCGUGCAGAAGCGGAAAUUUAAACAUAAGACGAGAAGACCCUAUGGAGCUUCAGAUACUAUGGCAGCUUAUGUUAACCUCCCCUCCCAAUAAAAGAGAGAAGAAACUAAAUUACUCUACCCUGAUAUCUUCGGUUGGGGCGACCACGGGGGAAUAAAUAGCCCCCACGCGGAACUGGGGGAACUUCUCCUACAACUAAGAGUUACAACUCUAAUUAACAAAAAUUCUGACCAACAGACCCGGCAAUGCCGAUCAACGGACCAAGUUACCCUAGGGAUAACAGCGCAAUCUUCUUUUAGAGCUCUUAUCGACAAGAAGGUUUACGACCUCGAUGUUGGAUCAGGACAUCCUAAUGGUGUAGUCGCUAUUAAGGGUUCGUUUGUUCAACGAUUAAAGUCCUACGUGAUCUG
Molecule: ribosomal RNA, 561 nt
Filed under: Paraliparis pectoralis
Lineage: Eukaryota; Metazoa; Chordata; Actinopteri; Perciformes; Liparidae
Description: partial 16S ribosomal RNA
Rfam family: Bacterial large subunit ribosomal RNA
Source: RNAcentral